This 253-nucleotide ribosomal RNA is filed under the name uncultured bacterium. RNAcentral describes it as "partial 16S ribosomal RNA". It matches the Rfam family "Bacterial small subunit ribosomal RNA", at positions 524 to 776 of the family's 1533-position model. The record is from RNAcentral.
UACGGAGGGUGUAAACGUUGUUCGGAAUCAUUGGGCGUAAAGCGUACGCAGGCUGCGUGUCAGGUCGGGUGUGAAAGCCCGGGGCUCAACCCCGGAAUUGCGCUCGAAACCGGCACGCUAGAAUCCAGCAGAGGAAGGUAGAAUUCCUGGUGUAGGGGUGAAAUCCGUAGAUAUCAGGGGGAAUACCAAGGGCGAAGGCAGCCUUCUGGGCUUGGAUUGACGCUGAGGUGCGAAAGCGCGGGUAGCAAACAGG